AGUGAACGCUGGCGGUAGGCCUAACACAUGCAGGUCGAACGGCAGCACAGUAAGAGCUUGCUCUUACGGGUGGCGAGUGGCGGACGGGUGAGGAAUACAUCGGAAUCUACUUUUUCGUGGGGGAUAACGUAGGGAAACUUACGCUAAUACCGCAUACGACCUACGGGUGAAAGCAGGGGAUCUUCGGACCUUGCGCGAUUGAAUGAGCCGAUGUCGGAUUAGCUAGUUGGCGGGGUAAAGGCCCACCAAGGCGACGAUCCGUAGCUGGUCUGAGAGGAUGAUCAGCCACACUGGAACUGAGACACGGUCCAGACUCCUACGGGAGGCAGCAGUGGGGAAUAUUGGACAAUGGGCGCAAGCCUGAUCCAGCCAUACCGCGUGGGUGAAGAAGGCCUUCGGGUUGUAAAGCCCUUUUGUUGGGAAAGAAAGGCAGCAGGUUAAUACCCCGCUGUUCUGACGGUACCCAAAGAAUAAGCACCGGCUAACUUCGUG
This 492-nucleotide ribosomal RNA is filed under the name uncultured bacterium. Its description in RNAcentral is "partial 16S ribosomal RNA". It matches the Rfam family "Bacterial small subunit ribosomal RNA", at positions 29 to 507 of the family's 1533-position model. The record is from RNAcentral.